RNAcentral lists this ribosomal RNA (440 nucleotides) under uncultured bacterium. RNAcentral's name for it is "partial 16S ribosomal RNA". It matches the Rfam family "Bacterial small subunit ribosomal RNA", at positions 339 to 795 of the family's 1533-position model. The record is from RNAcentral.
CUACGGGGGGCUGCAGCAGGGAAUAUUGCACAAUGGACGGAAGUCUGAUGCAGCGACGCCGCGUGGAUGAUGAAGGCCCUCGGGUUGUAAAAUCCUUUUCAGGGGGACGAGGAAGGACGGUACCCUUGGAAUAAGCGUCGGCUAACUACGUGCCAGCAGCCGCGGUAAGACGUAGGACGCAAGCGUUAUCCGGAUUUACUGGGCGUAAAGCGUCUGUAGGCGGAAUGGUAAGUUGGACGUGAAAGCUCCGGGCUCAACUCGGAGAGGUCGUUCAAUACUGCCAAACUAGAGGGCAUCAGAGGAGCGUGGAAUUUCCGGUGUAGCGGUAAGAUGCGCAGAUAUCGGAAGGAACACCAAUGGCGAAGGCAGCGCUCUGGGAUGAACCUGACGCUAAGAGACGAAAGCUAGGGGAGCGAACAGGAUUAGAUACCCGCGUAGUC